CCCUUAGAUGUCCUGGGCCGCACGCGCGUUACACUGAUGCAUUCAACGAGCUUAUAACCUUGGCCGAGAGGCCUGGGCAAUCUUGUUAACGUGCAUCGUGAUAGGGAUAGAUUAUUGAAAUUAUUAAUCUUCAACGAGGAAUUCCUAGUAAACGCAGAUCAUCAAUCUGCAUUGAUUACGUCCCUGCCCUUUGUACACACCGCCCGUCGCACCUACCGAUUGGAUGGUCCGGUGAAGCCUCGGGAUUGUGGUUCUUGCCGCUUUAUUGUGGCGUGACCGCGAGAACUUGUCUAAACCUUAUCAUCUAGAGGAAGGUGAAGUCGUAACA
Molecule: ribosomal RNA, 328 nt
Filed under: uncultured eukaryote
Lineage: Eukaryota
Description: partial 18S ribosomal RNA
Rfam family: Eukaryotic small subunit ribosomal RNA
Source: RNAcentral